RNAcentral lists this ribosomal RNA (269 nucleotides) under uncultured prokaryote. Its description in RNAcentral is "partial 16S ribosomal RNA". It matches the Rfam family "Bacterial small subunit ribosomal RNA", at positions 524 to 792 of the family's 1533-position model. The record is from RNAcentral.
UACAGAGGGUGCAAGCGUUAAUCGGAGUUACUGGGCGUAAAGCGUGCGUAGGCUGAUAUUUAAGUCGGAUGUGAAAUCCCCGGGCUUAACCUGGGAAUUGCAUUCGAUACUGGAUGUCUAGAGUGUGAUAGAGGAAAGCGGAAUUCCCGGUGUAGCAGUGAAAUGCGUAGAUAUCGGGAAGAACACCAGUGGCGAAGGCGGCUUUCUAAGUCAAUACUGACGCUGAGGUACGAAAGCGUGGGGAGCAAACAGGAUUAGAUACCCUCGUA